AAUCUAUACUAUACUAAAAGGAAGAUAUCCUCAAUCCUAAAGCUAUCCACCUAGGACUAAAAAAUCAGCCAAUUAGAAAUCACCUUACUGCCAAGUCACCAAAUUGUUACGAAAACCGGGACUUCUCAGCUUCACCUUCAUCGUUCUUAUAGUCUCUAUAAUCGGCUUUAUUUUGUAAUCGUUCCGACUCCUGUUCUCUCUCUCUUCAAAAAAUCCAGAAGACAAUUGUUCAGAUAGCUAUAAUCAAAGUCUUAUGAUACAUCUUCUUCUUAAAAGCUUGAAUCUCAAAGUGCUUUUUUUUGUUCUUAGUUUUCAUGGACUUGGAUCCAACAACUAUAUAUGAAUUAACUAAAUAAGAUUACAUCCCCUGAAAUUGCAGCCACUUACUAUCAGAGCAAAAUUGACGGAGGCAAACCACGUUUGCAAGGUGUGGGUAAAAGUUUUUUGCUUUUAAGAUUCUUUCAUGGCUCCUACACCACUAGAUCCAUCACCACCAUUGGGUUCUGUGACGUAUGCUUCUCUCUUUUGCGGACGUCCUAACGAGUUGCUUAUCUUUUGCUGCUGAUAUAGAGUUUAUUUUAAGAUAAUAACUCCUGAAGCUUGAUGGCAUAUGCUGAAAUGCAUCAUGCUCCAGAUUUGGGUCACGGCUGGUCACGAAUGUUUUGGAACUAUCACCAUUGGUGAGUGCGACCCUUUCAUAUGAGAUGCUUGCUCUAACAAUGUCCUUAACAUAAUAUUAGAGAGCUUGAGAGUCCAAGCUUCUUAUCGAGGGCAAUGGGCAUUAUUGCUGGUGUAUGAUGUCACAGACAGAUUAUCAUCGUGGUCUUAAAUCUUUGCUCUUUGAUUGCUGCUUUGAACCUGUUUUCUUGACCUUAUUCAGACAUUAAGACCCUCAUUCGUAAUAUCAGAUGGCAUGCUUCAGAUAAUGUCACCAAGAUCUUGGUAGAGAAAGAGGGUUACCGUAUACGCGAGUGCAUUGAAAUGAUUUACAACUUCUUGAUUCACGGCUAAUUUAAUAGAUAGUGUUUUUGGUAACUAUUUUACUUUUUUUGCAGACUGUGCCAAAAUGAAAAAAAUCAGGCACCCGGUGAUGGAUAUGGUUCUUUAAAACAGUAAGCCAAAGAUUGUUUCAUCAGAACAACUUAAACUAAUAAAUUGGUCGUAUUUGUUUUUGUGAGGUACACGAAUAUCCACCAUCUCAAAAGUUCACCACCUAUCCUCCAUUUUAAGAGCAGGUUUGACAGUGAAGUAUUAAUACGGGUUACAGAUUAGCACCUUUGAAGAGAGGGAAAAGCUAAGGAGAGAGAACUCUACAAGAGGAACAGUCUCUGCUUGCGGGAGCCUUCUGUCUUUUAUGAUAGCCAGUGAUCACUAAUCAUCAACACAAAUGAACAACAAUACUCUCAGAGCUUCUUGCUCAGUUUUCAAUCACUGUCGCUGAAACUUGAAUCGCUGCGCUGUUCUCCAUGUUCCUAGAUUUAUCGGAAAAUUUGCAACCUUUACUGUUGACUUGCAGGUGAUGGCUUCUAAGGAAUGAGACACAAAUUACUCUCUGAGCAAGCAUAAGCCACAUCCACUUUUUUUUUUCCCUGGUUUGAAAGAUCUUAUUUCCUAUGUAAACUAUGUCCUUUGACGACCUGAACAUAUAAAUUGGUUAUUAGGUUGUGUGAAUCAAUAACAAACAAGUCUUUGAAUA
This is a long non-coding RNA of Raphanus sativus (radish), 1696 nucleotides long. RefSeq lists it as uncharacterized. The record is from RefSeq and is a predicted model, not a curated record. The transcript has 5 exons. Lineage: Eukaryota; Viridiplantae; Streptophyta; Magnoliopsida; Brassicales; Brassicaceae.